Plutella xylostella (diamondback moth) is the source of this 908-nucleotide non-coding RNA. Lineage: Eukaryota; Metazoa; Arthropoda; Insecta; Lepidoptera; Plutellidae. The record is from RefSeq and is a predicted model, not a curated record.
AGAUAAAAGAGCUGCAGCAAUGGGAAACAUCACAUCCUGCGAGUCUACAGGCCAGAGUGUGAGUAAGGACACUCCAAAAAAGCCGUCAUACAUAGCUAACAACAUCAAACCCAUCACUGAAGAACCCACAUAUCCUACUGCGUGAGAGACUGCCAGUGAUACCAGGUCAGCUGUUUCUACACAACACUCAGUUCGGCUACAUUGUUGCUGGCACUGCACCAUUGAACAGCGACGGAUGUUCAUCACUACCAAGUAACUUUUGCAACUUUCCUAUUUUUUCGGGAAUACCGCCGCUGCCCCCGGGCCAUGCCUCUAUAAUGAGAAGAUCACCUGGGUGAAGAUGACGAUGCAACAUCGACAUGUCGAAGUACCCAGCGAAUGUGACGACAAAACUACUAAAUGGAUUUUGAUCAACAGACAACCUGGAUAGGCAACUUUUUAAAAAUCCUAGAAUCACUACCAGAAAACUUUUUAGCUCUAAGUUUUAUUUUAACAGUUACUAGAAAAUAAAACCGAGAGCAUGUUAAAUAAAACAAACCAACACCUAUCCCAAAAGAAAUGGUAGAAACAUAAUCAACAAAAUAUAUCAUACAGGUUACCAGAUAAGGCAAGUAAUAAUGAAAAAUAAUUUAUCUAUCUUUUAUCAUUGCAUGUUAUUGUUAUAAUGUAUUUCUACCUAUGGGUACAAUAGUGGGAGUAGCCUGUAUUUAUAGUUGGUGAACAAAUUGCUUGCUAAUGAUAAGGCACGGAAUUAAAAGGGACAGUCAGAAUUGAUGGAGCAUUUACAACGUAGGUAAACAAAUUCCUACACAUAUCUCAAGUCCUACAUAUUCAGAGACAGUCAUAUAAGAAAGGGAAUGACUGUUUAUAACCACAAUAGCCGAAACUGAUGUGGCAUUUCUCAAAAA